GAGCCCCCACCUUCCCAGAACCCACAAGAGGGGCCCAGCAGGACGACAUGCUUGAAAGAACUCUGAGUUCAGCGACUAUGGGCCAUAUCUGUCCAGGGAGCUGGGGACCCCAAGGAAAAGAAUCGACAACACUCAGUUCCCAGGAGCCACCAAGAAGGGUAUGCAUGUGUGUCCACACUCUCCAGCUAGCAGUGGUCUUGGCCUCCCUGGAUGUAGGUUUCAGCUCUGACACCUGCCCUGAAUUGCCCAUGUUGAUAUCUACACACAGAAUCCUCCUCUCUCGACCCCAGUGCCACUCACAUUUCUAUCUCUAACUCUGACGUCUCCUGUGAGCUCCAGACCCUUAUUCCCAGCUUAACAUGUCCAAAGAGCACUCUUGGUUCUCCCCACCCUGAACCCCAUCUCCCUCUUUCCUCUCUCCAGCCCAAAACGAGAAGUCUUCCCUGGCUUCUCUCCUUCCUCGGCAAAUCCUCUCAGUUCUACUUUUAAAAUAGCUCUGGAAUCUAACUUUCACACCCUAUGUGGCCACCACCUUGGUCCAGCCAACAUCACCUCCCACCUGCAUCAGCCUCCUCCCUGGGCUCCCAGCUGCCACCCUUGCCCCUGAUAAUCUGUUGCCCCAGAGGGCAGACAGAGAGAUCUGUUUAAAAAACUUAGACCACUCCAUUAGGAGCCGCUCCAAAGAAUCUUCAGUGCACCUGAAAUAAAAUUCCCACUCUUCUGCCCCCGCCCACUUCUCUCUCCAUCUGUUGGCUCUGACUCGUCCCACUCCAGACACGCAGGCCUCCUCUCUGUUCCUCAGACACCGCCAAGCUCCUUCCCGCCCCAGGGCCUUCGCAGAUGCUCUUCCUUCUGCCUAGAAUCUCGCCGCCAAUUCUUUCCAAAGGUGUCUCCUUCACCUCUUUCAGGCAUGGCUUAAAUGUCACUUCCUCAGAGAUGCCCCACCCCCUUCUAACUUUUCUUUAUAAGCCGUUCCACAACGUAUAUGUAACUUGGUUUAUCCUCACGGUCUGUUUCCCCCACUCAGUUGUGAUCUCUAGGAGAACAGGGACCUUGUCUUUUGUUUCCUUCCCCUCCGCCCCCCGCCCCCGCACCGCCCCAUUUCCCCAGCGCUCUCCACACCAGGCCUGGUACACAGCAAGCGCUCAAUAAAUACGUGCUAACUGAAUGGACCCAAGAA
Molecule: long non-coding RNA, 1180 nt
Organism: Balaenoptera ricei (Rice's whale)
Lineage: Eukaryota; Metazoa; Chordata; Mammalia; Artiodactyla; Balaenopteridae
Exons: 2
Source: RefSeq, a predicted model, not a curated record